GGCUCGGUGGUGUAGUUGGUUAUCACGUCAGUCUAACACACUGAAGGUCCCGAGUUCAAUCCUCGGCUGAGUCA
Molecule: transfer RNA, 74 nt
Filed under: Pyrenophora teres f. teres 0-1
Lineage: Eukaryota; Fungi; Ascomycota; Dothideomycetes; Pleosporales; Pleosporaceae
Description: tRNA-Val (AAC) (tRNA-Val-AAC-1-1)
Rfam family: tRNA
About the family: Transfer RNA (tRNA) molecules are approximately 80 nucleotides in length. Their secondary structure includes four short double-helical elements and three loops (D, anti-codon, and T loops).
Source: RNAcentral